UACGUAGGGGGCAAGCGUUGUCCGGAAUCAUUGGGCGUAAAGAGCGCGUAGGCGGCCCGGUAAGUCCGCUGUGAAAGUCAAGGGCUCAACCCUUGAAUGCCGGUGGAUACUGUCGGGCUAGAGUCCGGAAGAGGCGAGUGGAAUUCCUGGUGUAGCGGUGAAAUGCGUAGAGAUCCGGAGGAACACCAGUGGCGAAGGCGACACGCUGGGCCGACACUGACGCUGAUGCGCGAAAGCCAGGGGAGCGAACGGG
Molecule: ribosomal RNA, 253 nt
Filed under: uncultured bacterium
Lineage: Bacteria
Description: partial 16S ribosomal RNA
Rfam family: Bacterial small subunit ribosomal RNA
Source: RNAcentral